RNAcentral lists this transfer RNA (69 nucleotides) under Camelus bactrianus (Bactrian camel). It matches the Rfam family "tRNA". Rfam says of the family: Transfer RNA (tRNA) molecules are approximately 80 nucleotides in length. Their secondary structure includes four short double-helical elements and three loops (D, anti-codon, and T loops). Further hydrogen bonds mediate the characteristic L-shaped molecular structure. tRNAs have two regions of fundamental functional importance: the anti-codon, which is responsible for specific mRNA codon recognition, and the 3' end, to which the tRNAs corresponding amino acid is attached (by aminoacyl-tRNA synthetases). tRNAs cope with the degeneracy of the genetic code in two manners: having more than one tRNA (with a specific anti-codon) for a particular amino acid; and 'wobble' base-pairing, i.e. permitting non-standard base-pairing at the 3rd anti-codon position. RNAcentral also lists the same sequence under 3 other names. Lineage: Eukaryota; Metazoa; Chordata; Mammalia; Artiodactyla; Camelidae. The record is from Rfam by way of RNAcentral.
AAGGGUAUAGCUCAGUUAGAGUGCAUGCUUAGCAUGCAUAGGUCCUGGGUUCGAUCCCCACUACCUCUA